Molecule: unclassified non-coding RNA, 356 nt
Filed under: fungal sp.
Lineage: Eukaryota; Fungi
Also listed under: 1 other name
Description: partial internal transcribed spacer region
Rfam family: Eukaryotic small subunit ribosomal RNA (bases 1-46)
Source: RNAcentral
AAGUCGUAACAAGGUUUCCGUAGGUGAACCUGCGGAAGGAUCAUUAUCAAAGUCUCCACCUCUUUUUCUCUUUGCCUUCAGCUCAUGGCUUCAUGUUAUAGGUCGCUUCACGAAGGUGUGUGGGGCUUAGGCCCCCGGCCAUGAUGUUAGCGAUGUGCGGGUUUGGGGAAGCUGCUGAAGGUGAAUGGAUAGCGUGCACCACAUUGUAGUAGAUCAUUGACCAUUUGCUGUGUGCGGGUCUACUACCCCUCCUUUCUGUCAUCAACUAAAACCGGUCAUUGUAUGUUGGUGGGCACUUUGCCUUUGCCCUUUAAUAUCUGAAUAUAUAACUUUCAACAACGGAUCUCUUGGCUCUC